Molecule: ribosomal RNA, 218 nt
Filed under: uncultured bacterium
Lineage: Bacteria
Description: partial 16S ribosomal RNA
Rfam family: Bacterial small subunit ribosomal RNA
Source: RNAcentral
CUGUCUCAUUCGGAUUGGAGGUCUGCAACUCGACUCCAUGAAGCUGGAUUCGCUAGUAAUCGCGCAUCAGCCAUGCCGCGGUGAAUACGUUCCCGGGCCUUGUACACACCGCCCGUCACACCAUGGGAGCCGGUAAUACCCGAAGUCAGUAGUCCAACCUCGUGAGGACGCUGCCGAAGGUAGGAUUGGCGACUGGGGUGAAGUCGUAACAAGGUAAC